UGACAUUCCUGGGGGCGCCAUUGCGAUGGCUGAGACUCCGCACUUUGUGCGGUAACCCUUCGAACCUGAUCCGGGUAAUGCCGGCGAAGGGAAGGAUAAAGCCUGCUUU
This 109-nucleotide non-coding RNA is filed under the name Marinobacter sp. Its description in RNAcentral is "TPP sequence". It matches the Rfam family "TPP riboswitch aptamer (THI element)". Rfam says of the family: Vitamin B(1) in its active form thiamin pyrophosphate (TPP) is an essential coenzyme that is synthesised by coupling of pyrimidine and thiazole moieties in bacteria. Lineage: Bacteria; Pseudomonadati; Pseudomonadota; Gammaproteobacteria; Pseudomonadales; Marinobacteraceae. RNAcentral also lists the same sequence under 1 other name. The record is from RNAcentral.